CGCAGCUCUGAAAGAGUGCAUCCUUGCUAACAAAACUCUGGUUGACAUAGAUACUGUUACCAUUCGAUCUUACUCCUUCAAUCUUUUUGAAAUCUUCAAAACACAUAUCAUCAUCUUCCUCAUCCUCAUCUUCAACCUUUCCAUAAACACUGUAAUCUUCACCAUUCUCGUCCGCUUCAGCAACAAUAGAGAUAUCAGCAUCCUCCUCCCCAUCGUCCUCCUCCCCAUCAUCCUCCUCCCCAUCAUGAUUUUCAUCUUCAACCAAAUCAUCAUCAUCAUUCAAAACAUUCAUC
Molecule: long non-coding RNA, 293 nt
Filed under: Brassica napus (rape)
Lineage: Eukaryota; Viridiplantae; Streptophyta; Magnoliopsida; Brassicales; Brassicaceae
Description: long non-coding RNA (BNAP_LNC024254)
Source: RNAcentral